This 754-nucleotide ribosomal RNA is filed under the name actinobacterium SCGC AAA043-D06. RNAcentral's name for it is "bacterial SSU rRNA". It matches the Rfam family "Bacterial small subunit ribosomal RNA", at positions 89 to 857 of the family's 1533-position model. The record is from RNAcentral. Lineage: Bacteria; Bacillati; Actinomycetota; Actinomycetes.
UGAAUAGCGGCGAACGGGUGAGGAACACGUGAGGAAUCUGCCUUCUACACUGGGAUAACUCCGGGAAAACCGGGGCUAAUACUGGAUAUGAAACUGGUGGCAUCACCAGGUUUGGAAAGUUUUUCGGUAGAAGAUGACCUCGCGGCCUAUCAGCUUGUUGGUGAGGUAAUGGCUCACCAAGGCGACGACGGGUAGCCGGCCUGAGAGGGCGACCGGCCACACUGGGACUGAGACACGGCCCAGACUCCUACGGGAGGCAGCAGUGGGGAAUAUUGGGCAAUGGAGGAAACUCUGACCCAGCGACGCCGCGUGCGGGAUGAAGGCCUUCGGGUUGUAAACCGCUUUCAGUAGGGAAGAAGCGAAAGUGACGGUACCUACAGAAGAAGCACCGGCUAACUAUGUGCCAGCAGCCGCGGUAAUACAUAGGGUGCAAGCGUUGUCCGGAAUUAUUGGGCGUAAAGAGCUCGUAGGUGGUUCGUUACGUCGGAUGUGAAAAUCUGGGGCUCAACCCCAGACCUGCAUCCGAUACGGUCGAGCUAGAGUUUGGUAGGGGAGACUGGAAUUCCUGGUGUAGCGGUGGAAUGCGCAGAUAUCAGGAGGAACACCAAUGGCGAAGGCAGGUCUCUGGGCCAAUACUGACACUGAGGAGCGAAAGCGUGGGGAGCGAACAGGAUUAGAUACCCUGGUAGUCCACGCCGUAAACGGUGGGCGCUAGUUGUGGGAACCUUCCACGGUUUCUGCGACGCAGCUAACG